CCCUUAGAUGUUCUGGGCCGCACGCGCGCUACAAUGAUGAAUUCAACGAGUUUAUAACCUUGGUUGAAAAGCCUGGGUAAUCUUUUGAACUUUCGUCGUGAUGGGACUAGACCCUUGCAAUUAUUGGUCUCCAACGAGGAAUUCCUAGUAAACGCAAGUCAUCAGCUUGCAUUGAUUACGUCCCUGCCCUUUGUACACACCGCCCGUCGCACCUACCGAUUGAAUGGUCCGGUGAAAUCUUCGGAUUGAGACUUUGAUUUCUUCACGGAAAACGCUGUUUUAAGAAGUUGAUUAAACCUUACCAUUUAGAGGAAGGUGAAGUCGUAACA
Molecule: ribosomal RNA, 329 nt
Filed under: uncultured eukaryote
Lineage: Eukaryota
Description: partial 18S ribosomal RNA
Rfam family: Eukaryotic small subunit ribosomal RNA
Source: RNAcentral